Molecule: long non-coding RNA, 894 nt
Filed under: Equus caballus (horse)
Lineage: Eukaryota; Metazoa; Chordata; Mammalia; Perissodactyla; Equidae
Description: lncRNA (ENSECAG00000055777.1)
Source: RNAcentral
AUCUUGGUUUCCCAUGGUAACUGCUUUUUAUUAUGACAACUGACAAAGCCCCAGCUUCACAGAGAUGUGAAGUCAUGGAAAGAAUGCAGUGUGAAUUAGUUUUGAAACUGUGAGCUCUCCCAAGUUCGUAGCUUACACAACGCCUGAACAGAUAUUGAGUCUAGCUGCUUCCCUUGAAUCUUGAUGUCUCCCCCAGUGUCUUCAUGACUCCUCUUCAGCAACCUGGGGUGCCUCCAGUGCCAGAGCAGGCCCUGCUCGAGGUCCUGCUGGAGCCCUGUCUCCGGGCCCGGCCGCAGCAGGUGGAAAGGGAGUGGAGUCACUCUUAGCUGAAGCAGGAAGAGAACAACACCACGUGGGUAUUGCUAUCAUCCUCAUUCGGCAGAACCAGGAACGAGCGACAGAGGCUCCGUGUUACUGAAUCUUUGCUACGUGCCGGUCAUCACACUAAGAAAAUAACUUGCAAUAUCUCAUCUAAUCCUGAUGCGACCUGGUGACUUAUAUAUUACUAUCCUUUUACCAAUGAGGAAACUGAGGCUUGGAGAGCUCGAGGAGCAAGUCCAAAGUGGAACAGCCCGCGUGUGUGGAGCUGGGGCUUUGAGGCCAGGCCCGUGUCCUGCGAGGCCUCCCCAGACCCCGGACACAACACGAGUCGCAGAUGCUCAUGGUCCUCCGUGCAAACCCUGGGAGGAGAAGGUGACCACGGAUAGGACUCGUGUGCCACCUGAACAGUUGUUCCCAAAUUCCUCCUGUCUCUCUCCCUGGCUGUGUAGUCCCCACCUUUCAUGUUAGGUGUAGGAUCCCUCACUUUCUACGACCUCAGAACCUCCUGAAAAUGAAAAUGAUAAACCAACAAGCUUACCGUUUAUACAAUGCCAGCCACACAUUGAAAGCUCA